This 1024-nucleotide long non-coding RNA is filed under the name Homo sapiens (human). RNAcentral describes it as "long non-coding RNA NONHSAT170968.1". The record is from RNAcentral. Lineage: Eukaryota; Metazoa; Chordata; Mammalia; Primates; Hominidae.
UUUGGUUCUUCCAUAUCUCCAUUAUUUAGAUGGGCUUAACAUCUGUGUUUUCAUUUUCUUUUCCUUUUUCUCCUCCUUGACUCCACUCUUCUUUAGUUUUCUUUCUAGUUUACUUCUGACCCAAAUUCCUUUUUACAAAGGAGAAGUCAGGAACUGACCUAGCAAACCAGAAUACUACCCCUUCCCUCCUGUCUCUGCAACACUGCCCAUCUCUCCCCAUCCUCCCCAUCCUGGGAACCUGGAUGGCCAAGAUGGAACUCUUUUUUGAGAGCUGGGGGAGGAGAAAUGGAGCAGGCAAGGAAGACAAUUUUGGUGGUGGGUGGUAGCAAACAUGGUGUUGGAAAAGAUGGUGGGGAGGCUGGGAACACUCUACAUACCAACCUUGUCCUCAUCACAUUAGCAUGUGGGCACUGUGGGUGGAAGAGCCUGGCCACUCGUGCGUGACAAACUCCAACACAGACUGCCAUGCAAGAGCUACUUGUUGUAGUGAAUGGCAGCAAGGAGAGGCCCCUCCUUACCCCUGAGAUCCCCAUUGCCAUGGAUGGUUCAUUUUCAUUACCUUGCUGGUCUCCUUUUCUUUGCAGAGUUGACUGUUUCUGUAAUAGCAUACCUUGAGAUCUACUCAGAAAUGGCAGACUGGGAGAGAUGGCACUCCCACUUAUUCCACGUGCUCUCCUACACUUCCCAGCCUCCUAGGUGAGGGCUGUGUGGCUUGUUCUGACCAACGCAGGCACACCUUGGGGAUAUGCAGGUUCCAUUCCAGACCACCCCCAACAAAGUGAGUAUCUCAAUAAAACAAGUCACACAUUUUUUUUUGGUUUCCCAGUGCACAUAAGUUAUGUUUACACUGUACUAUACACUAUUAAGUGAGCAAUAACAUUAUUCCUAAAAAAAGUACAUACCUUAAUUAAAAAUACUAUAUUGCUAAAAAAUACAAAUGAUCAUCUGAGGCUUCAGUGAGUUGUAAUCUUUUUGUUGAUGGAGGGUCUUGCCUUGAGGCUGAUGGCUGCUGACUAAUCAGGAU